RNAcentral lists this ribosomal RNA (735 nucleotides) under uncultured Fusobacterium sp. Its description in RNAcentral is "bacterial SSU rRNA". It matches the Rfam family "Bacterial small subunit ribosomal RNA", at positions 28 to 776 of the family's 1533-position model. The record is from RNAcentral. Lineage: Bacteria; Fusobacteriati; Fusobacteriota; Fusobacteriia; Fusobacteriales; Fusobacteriaceae.
GAUGAACGCUGACAGAAUGCUUAACACAUGCAAGUCAACUUGAAUUUGGGUUUUUAACUUAGAUUUGGGUGGCGGACGGGUGAGUAACGCGUAAAGAACUUGCCUCACAGCUAGGGACAACAUUUAGAAAUGAAUGCUAAUACCUGAUAUUAUGAUUUUAAGGCAUCUUAGAAUUAUGAAAGCUAUAAGCACUGUGAGAGAGCUUUGCGUCCCAUUAGCUAGUUGGAGAGGUAACAGCUCACCAAGGCGAUGAUGGGUAGCCGGCCUGAGAGGGUGAACGGCCACAAGGGGACUGAGACACGGCCCUUACUCCUACGGGAGGCAGCAGUGGGGAAUAUUGGACAAUGGACCGAGAGUCUGAUCCAGCAAUUCUGUGUGCACGAUGAAGUUUUUCGGAAUGUAAAGUGCUUUCAGUUGGGAAGAAAGAAAUGACGGUACCAACAGAAGAAGUGACGGCUAAAUACGUGCCAGCAGCCGCGGUAAUACGUAUGUCACAAGCGUUAUCCGGAUUUAUUGGGCGUAAAGCGCGUCUAGGUGGUUAUGUAAGUCUGAUGUGAAAAUGCAGGGCUCAACUCUGUAUUGCGUUGGAAACUGUAUAACUAGAGUACUGGAGAGGUAAGCGGAACUACAAGUGUAGAGGUGAAAUUCGUAGAUAUUUGUAGGAAUGCCGAUGGGGAAGCCAGCUUACUGGACAGAUACUGACGCUAAAGCGCGAAAGCGUGGGUAGCAAACAGG